RNAcentral lists this ribosomal RNA (489 nucleotides) under uncultured bacterium. Its description in RNAcentral is "bacterial SSU rRNA". It matches the Rfam family "Bacterial small subunit ribosomal RNA", at positions 30 to 507 of the family's 1533-position model. The record is from RNAcentral.
UGAACGCUAGGCGGGAGGCUUAACACAUGCAAGUCGAGGGGCAUCGACGGGGUAGCAAUACUCUGGUGGCGACCGGCGCACGGGGUGAGUAACACGUUAUGCAACCUCGCCUCGUACGAGGGGAUAACCCGGAGAAAUUCGGACUAAUAUCCCAUAAUGAUAUUGAAAGGCAUCUUUUGAUAUUUAAAGCUCAGGCGGUACGGGAUGGGCAUGCGGAACAUUAGCUAGUUGGCAGGGUAACGGCCUACCAAGGCUGCGAUGUUUAGGGGGCCUGAGAGGGUUAUCCCCCACACUGGUACUGAGACACGGACCAGACUCCUACGGGAGGCAGCAGUGAGGAAUAUUGGUCAAUGGGCGCAAGCCUGAACCAGCCAUCCCGCGUGAAGGAAGAAGGCGCUAUGCGUUGUAAACUUCUUUUCCAGGGGGAGAAUUUUUCCGUCGUGACGGGAAUUGACGGUACUCUGGGAAUAAGCAUCGGCUAACUCCGUG